RNAcentral lists this ribosomal RNA (586 nucleotides) under uncultured bacterium. RNAcentral describes it as "partial 16S ribosomal RNA". It matches the Rfam family "Bacterial small subunit ribosomal RNA", at positions 355 to 1375 of the family's 1533-position model. The record is from RNAcentral.
UGGGGAAUUUUGGACAAUGGGCGAAAGCCUGAUCCAGCAAUGCCGCGUGUGUGAAGAAGGCCUUCGGGUUGUAAAGCACUUUUGUCCGGAAAGAAAUCCUUGGCUCUAAUACAGUCGGGGGAUGACGGUACCGGAAGAAUAAGCACCGGCUAACUACGUGCCAGCAGCCGCGGUAAUACGUAGGGUGCAAGCGUUAAUCGGAAUUACUGGGCGUAAAGCGUGCGCAGGCGGUUUGCUAAGACCGACGUGAAAUCCCCGGGCUCAACCUGGGAACUGCAUUGGUGACUGGCAGGCUAGAGUAUGGCAGAGGGGGGUAGAAUUCCACGUGUAGCAGUGAAAUGCGUAGAGAUGUGGAGGAAUACCGAUGGCGAAGGCAGCCCCCUGGGCCAAUACUGACGCUCAUGCACGAAAGCGUGGGGAGCAAAACAGGAUUAGAUACCCUGGUAGUCCACGCCCUAAACGAUGUCAACUAGUUGUUGGGGAUUCAUUUCCUUAGUAACGUAGCUAACGCGUGAAGUUGACCGCCUGGGGAGUACGGUCGCAAGAUUAAAACUUAAAGGAAUUGACGGGGUCAUAGCUGUUUCCU